Molecule: ribosomal RNA, 254 nt
Filed under: uncultured bacterium
Lineage: Bacteria
Description: partial 16S ribosomal RNA
Rfam family: Bacterial small subunit ribosomal RNA
Source: RNAcentral
UACGUAGGGUGCGAGCGUUGUCCGGAAUUAUUGGGCGUAAAGAGCUCGUAGGCGGUGUGUCACGUCGGCCGUGAAAACCUGCAGCUUAACUGUGGGCGUGCGGUCGAUACGGGCAUCACUGGAGUUCGGCAGGGGAGACUGGAAUUCCUGGUGUAGCGGUGAAAUGCGUAGAUAUCGAGAGGAACACCUGCGGCGAAGGCGGGUUGCUGGGCUGACACUGACGCUGAAGCGCGAAAGCUAGGGGAGCGAACGGG